RNAcentral lists this ribosomal RNA (422 nucleotides) under uncultured bacterium. Its description in RNAcentral is "bacterial SSU rRNA". It matches the Rfam family "Bacterial small subunit ribosomal RNA", at positions 355 to 775 of the family's 1533-position model. The record is from RNAcentral.
UGGGGAAUCUUGCGCAAUGGCCGCAAGGCUGACGCAGCGACGCCGCGUGCGGGACGACGCCCUUCGGGGUGUAAACCGCUGUUGCCCGGGACGAACGCCCUUCUUUCGAGAGGGGGUGACGGUACCGGGUGAGGAAGCACCGGCUAACUCCGUGCCAGCAGCCGCGGUAAUACGGAGGGUGCGAGCGUUGUCCGGAAUCACUGGGCGUAAAGGGCGCGUAGGCGGCCGAGCAAGGUCGUGGUGAAAGCCCGGGGCUCAACCCCGGGUCGGCCAUGGCAACUACUCGGCUGGAGCACAGUAGAGGCAGGCGGAAUUCCGGGUGUAGCGGUGGAAUGCGUAGAGAUCCGGAAGAACACCGGUGGCGAAGGCGGCCUGCUGGGCGGUGGCUGACGCUGAGGCGCGACAGCGUGGGGAGCAAACAG